Molecule: ribosomal RNA, 465 nt
Filed under: uncultured bacterium
Lineage: Bacteria
Description: partial 16S ribosomal RNA
Rfam family: Bacterial small subunit ribosomal RNA
Source: RNAcentral
GACGAACGCUGGCGGCGUGCUUAACACAUGCAAGUCGAACGGAAAGGCCCUGCUUGCAGGGUACUCGAGUGGCGAAAGGGUGAGUAACACGUGGGUGAUCUGCCCUGCACUUCGGGAUAAGCCUGGGAAACUGGGUCUAAUACCGGAUAGGGGCCAUUUUUCGGGUGGUGGUUGGAAAGUUUUUUCGGUGUGGGAUGGGCUGGCGGCCUAUCAGCUUGUUGGUGGGGUAAUGGCCUACCAAGGCGGCGACGGGUAGCCGGCCUGGGAGGGUGGACGGCCACAUUGGGGCUGGGAGACGGCCCAGACGCCUACGGGAGGCAGCAGGGGGGAAUAUUGCACAAUGGGCGCGAGCCUGAUGCAGCGACGCCGCGUGGGGGAUGACGGCCUUCGGGUUGUAAACUCCUUUCGCUAGGGACGAAGCUUUUUGUGACGGUACCUAGAUAAGAAGCACCGGCUAACUACGUG